GGGGAUAACUACUGGAAACGGUAGCUAAUACCGCAUAACGUCGCAAGACCGAAGAGGGGGACCUUCGGGCCUCUUGCCAUCGGAUGUGCCCAGAUGGGAUUAGCUUGUUGGUGGGGUAACGGCUCACCAAGGCGACGAUCCCUAGCUGGUCUGAGAGGAUGACCAGCCACACUGGAACUGAGACACGGUCCAGACUCCUACGGGAGGCAGCAGUGGGGAAUAUUGCACAAUGGGCGCAAGCCUGAUGCAGCCAUGCCGCGUGUAUGAAGAAGGCCUUCGGGUUGUAAAGUACUUUCAGCGGGGAGGAAGGGAGUAAAGUUAAUACCUUUGCUCAUUGACGUUACCCGCAGAAGAAGCACCGGCUAACUCCGUGCCAGCAGCCGCGGUAAUACGGAGGGUGCAAGCGUUAAUCGGAAUUACUGGGCGUAAAGCGCACGCAGGCGGUUUGUUAAGUCAGGUGUGAAAUCCCCGGGCUCAACCUGGGAACUGCAUCUGAUACUGGCAAGCUUGAGUCUCGUAGAGGGGGGUAGAAUUCCAGGUGUAGCGGUGAAAUGCGUAGAGAUCUGGAGGAAUACCGGUGGCGAAGGCGGCCCCCUGGACGAGGACUGACGCUCAGGUGCGAAAGCGUGGGGAGCAAACAGGAUUAGAUACCCU
This 654-nucleotide ribosomal RNA is filed under the name uncultured bacterium. RNAcentral's name for it is "bacterial SSU rRNA". It matches the Rfam family "Bacterial small subunit ribosomal RNA", at positions 139 to 788 of the family's 1533-position model. The record is from RNAcentral.